Long non-coding RNA from Choloepus didactylus (southern two-toed sloth), 329 nucleotides. RefSeq lists it as uncharacterized. NCBI's taxonomy places the organism in Eukaryota, Metazoa, Chordata, Mammalia, Pilosa, Megalonychidae. The transcript has 3 exons. The record is from RefSeq and is a predicted model, not a curated record.
CUGGCACCACAGCACAAGCUUAUAGACGGAUCUGGUAGUUCACUGGCAGGUGGCCUCCACAGGUGCUUCAGGGCUGAUGCCAGAUGUCCUACCCAGGAACAGGGCACAGUCUGUGGCUUCCAGACACAAGAUUUCCUAAUGGCCUAAGAUAGCUUCUGGAGCUCCAGCCAUCACACCCACAGUCCAGAUUGGCAGAGGAGAAGCAAUGAAGGAAAGCCUGAUUCCCAGAACCCCUCCACGGAGAAGACAAAUAUUUAGAUAAUCACCAGGAGCCAGUGAGAGUCUCCAUUGAUUUCUACAUGUAUCCAACUUGUGAACGCAACUCUGAC